This 126-nucleotide ribosomal RNA is filed under the name Nothophoma sp. RNAcentral's name for it is "partial large subunit ribosomal RNA". Lineage: Eukaryota; Fungi; Ascomycota; Dothideomycetes; Pleosporales; Didymellaceae. The record is from RNAcentral.
CGGCAACAGCUCAAAUUUGAAAUCUGGCGUCUUCGACGUCCGAGUUGUAAUUUGCAGAGGGCGCUUUGGCAUUGGCAGCGGUCCAAGUUCCUUGGAACAGAAUGUCAAAGAGGGUGAGAAUCCCGU